This 368-nucleotide unclassified non-coding RNA is filed under the name Vibrio parahaemolyticus. RNAcentral's name for it is "16S-23S ribosomal RNA intergenic spacer". The stretch from base 1 to 65 matches the Rfam family "Bacterial small subunit ribosomal RNA", at positions 1469 to 1533 of the family's 1533-position model. The record is from RNAcentral. Lineage: Bacteria; Pseudomonadati; Pseudomonadota; Gammaproteobacteria; Vibrionales; Vibrionaceae.
UCAUGACUGGGGUGAAGUCGUAACAAGGUAGCGCUAGGGGAACCUGGCGCUGGAUCACCUCCUUAAACGAUGAUUACUCACGAUGAGUGUCCACACAGAUUGAUAGUUCACAAGCGAAAGCUUGUAGCUAACAUAGCUCUUUAACAAUUUGGAAAGCUGACAAAACAAUCUUUUAAGAUUGUUUGUAAAGUUCUCAAUGUUUGUCUUUAUGACAAACACCAAAAAACACAUUCAAGUGUUCUUGGGAAUAUCACUUUUACAGUGAUUAUUCGAAAUUGAGUCCGGCAAAAUCGAGUCUGCAUCAUGUAUAAAAAUUGCAGACAACUUUGGUGAUUUGAUUAUCAACUCGAAACUCCUUCGGGUUGUAU